This 1343-nucleotide ribosomal RNA is filed under the name uncultured bacterium. RNAcentral's name for it is "16S ribosomal RNA". It matches the Rfam family "Bacterial small subunit ribosomal RNA", at positions 28 to 1378 of the family's 1533-position model. The record is from RNAcentral.
GACGAACGCUGGCGGCGUGCUUAACACAUGCAAGUCGAACGGAAAGGCCCUGCUUUUGUGGGGUGCUCGAGUGGCGAACGGGUGAGUAACACGUGAGUAACCUGCCCUUGACUUUGGGAUAACUUCAGGAAACUGGGGCUAAUACCGGAUAGGAGCUCCUGCUGCAUGGUGGGGGUUGGAAAGUUUCGGCGGUUGGGGAUGGACUCGCGGCUUAUCAGCUUGUUGGUGGGGUAGUGGCUUACCAAGGCUUUGACGGGUAGCCGGCCUGAGAGGGUGACCGGCCACAUUGGGACUGAGAUACGGCCCAGACUCCUACGGGAGGCAGCAGUGGGGAAUAUUGCACAAUGGGCGGAAGCCUGAUGCAGCAACGCCGCGUGCGGGAUGACGGCCUUCGGGUUGUAAACCGCUUUCGCCUGUGACGAAGCGUGAGUGACGGUAAUGGGUAAAGAAGCACCGGCUAACUACGUGCCAGCAGCCGCGGUGAUACGUAGGGUGCGAGCGUUGUCCGGAUUUAUUGGGCGUAAAGGGCUCGUAGGUGGUUGAUCGCGUCGGAAGUGUAAUCUUGGGGCUUAACCCUGAGCGUGCUUUCGAUACGGGUUGACUUGAGGAAGGUAGGGGAGAAUGGAAUUCCUGGUGGAGCGGUGGAAUGCGCAGAUAUCAGGAGGAACACCAGUGGCGAAGGCGGUUCUCUGGGCCUUUCCUGACGCUGAGGAGCGAAAGCGUGGGGAGCGAACAGGCUUAGAUACCCUGGUAGUCCACGCUGUAAACGGUGGGUACUAGGUGUGGGGUCCAUUCCACGGGGUCCGUGCCGUAGCUAACGCUUUAAGUACCCCGCCUGGGGAGUACGGCCGCAAGGCUAAAACUCAAAGGAAUUGACGGGGCCCCGCACAAGCGGCGGAGCAUGCGGAUUAAUUCGAUGCAACGCGUAGAACCUUACCUGGGUUUGACAUGGAUCGGGAGCGCUCAGAGAUGGGUGUGCCUCUUUUGGGGUCGGUUCACAGGUGGUGCAUGGCUGUCGUCAGCUCGUGUCGUGAGAUGUUGGGUUAAGUCCCGCAACGAGCGCAACCCUUGUUCACUGUUGCCAGCACGUUAUGGUGGGGACUCAGUGGAGACCGCCGGGGUCAACUCGGAGGAAGGUGGGGAUGACGUCAAGUCAUCAUGCCCCUUAUGUCCAGGGCUUCACGCAUGCUACAAUGGCUGGUACAGAGAGUGGCGAGCCUGUGAGGGUGAGCGAAUCUCGGAAAGCCGGUCUCAGUUCGGAUUGGGGUCUGCAACUCGACCUCAUGAAGUCGGAGUCGCUAGUAAUCGCAGAUCAGCAACGCUGCGGUGAAUACGUUCCCGGG